AAUCUGCCUUAGGAGGGGGACAACAGUUGGAAACGACUGCUAAUACCCCAUAUGCCGAGAGGUGAAACAUUAAUGGCCUGAGGAGGAGCUCGCGUCUGAUUAGCUAGUUGGUGGGGUAACGGCCUACCAAGGCGACGAUCAGUAGCUGGUCUGAGAGGAUGAUCAGCCACACUGGGACUGAGACACGGCCCAGACUCCUACGGGAGGCAGCAGUGGGGAAUUUUCCGCAAUGGGCGAAAGCCUGACGGAGCAAGACCGCGUGAGGGAGGAAGGUCUGUGGAUUGUAAACCUCUUUUCUCAGGGAAGAAGAACUGACGGUACCUGAGGAAUCAGCAUCGGCUAACUCCGUGCCAGCAGCCGCGGUAAUACGGAGGAUGCAAGCGUUAUCCGGAAUUAUUGGGCGUAAAGCGUCCGUAGGUGGCUAAGCAAGUCUGCUGUUAAAGAGCGGAGCUAAACUCCGUAAAGGCGGUGGAAACUGCAUAGCUAGAGUGUGGUAGGGGUAGAGGGAAUUCCCAGUGUAGCGGUGAAAUGCGUAGAUAUUGGGAAGAACACCGGUGGCGAAGGCGCUCUACUGGGCCACAACUGACACUGAUGGACGAAAGCUAGGGGAGCGAAUGGG
RNAcentral lists this ribosomal RNA (619 nucleotides) under cyanobacterium GSP406-1. Its description in RNAcentral is "bacterial SSU rRNA". It matches the Rfam family "Bacterial small subunit ribosomal RNA", at positions 123 to 776 of the family's 1533-position model. The record is from RNAcentral. Lineage: Bacteria; Bacillati; Cyanobacteriota.